This 525-nucleotide long non-coding RNA is filed under the name Homo sapiens (human). RNAcentral's name for it is "non-protein coding lnc-TIGD3-5:1". Lineage: Eukaryota; Metazoa; Chordata; Mammalia; Primates; Hominidae. The record is from RNAcentral.
UGGACACGUGGUAACCAACCAGGCAGGAGGCAGGAAGGGUUGGGUGACAGGACCAGGCCCCAUGGGGGCCCUUGGUGCACAUGGGGCUGCAGUGCAGAGGCUGCCGGCUCAGGCAGGACUGGUGGGAAGUGCAGGAAGGUGGGGCCCGGGUUCCUGUUCCUGGAUGGAGAUGCAGGCAUCUGGAGCCGCAGGAUGAGCCUUUGGCUUCAGACGGUGACCCCGGGUCAGACGGGCAGAGGGACAGCCCCAGGUGGGCCUCAUAGGGAGCCCCAUCACAAUCCUUGGCCUGCACCUGGAGAGCUUGUCAAGUUUUAGGGCCGGGGGAGCUCACCUGGGACAGGUGGGGGUGUCACCAUCCCCACUCUGCAAAGGAAGCAGGCGCAGGACAGGAGGUGCCUCUCACCAGCUGUACAGCUGCUCUCGGCAGAAGCAGACAGGCUGGCCCUGGAGUCUGCCCUUCGGAGGGGGGCCGAGAACUGAACCCCCUCUGUCUGGUGCCUGGGUCUCCCCUUGUGGGCUCCUUAC